This 398-nucleotide ribosomal RNA is filed under the name uncultured bacterium. Its description in RNAcentral is "bacterial SSU rRNA". It matches the Rfam family "Bacterial small subunit ribosomal RNA", at positions 359 to 774 of the family's 1533-position model. The record is from RNAcentral.
GAAUUUUGGGCAAUGGGCGAAAGCCUGACCCAGCAACGCCGCGUGAGGGAUGAAGUAUUUCGGUAUGUAAACCUCGAAAGAAUGGGAAGAAUAAAUGACGGUACCAUUUAUAAGCUCCGGCUAACUACGUGCCAGCAGCCGCGGUAAUACGUAGGGAGCAAGCGAUGUUCGGAUUUACUGGGCGUAAAGGGCGCGUAGGCGGCGCGGUAAGUCACUUGUGAAAUCUCUGAGCUUAACUCAGAACGGCCAAGUGAUACUGCUGUGCUAGAGUGCGGAAGAGGCAACCGGAAUUCUUGGUGUAGCGGUGAAAUGCGUAGAUAUCAAGAGGAACACCUGAGGCGAAGGCGGGUUGCUGGGCCGACACUGACGCUGAUGCGCGAAAGCCAGGGGAGCAAACG